GAUGAAGAACGCAGCGAAAUGCGAUAAGUAAUGUGAAUUGCAGAAUUCAGUGAAUCAUCGAAUCUUUGAACGCACAUUGCGCCCUCUGGUAUUCCGGGGGGCAUGCCUGUUCGAGCGUCAUUAUAACCACUCAAGCUCUCGCUUGGUAUUGGGGCUCGCGGUUCCGCGGCCCCUAAAAUCAGUGGCGGUGCCUGUCGGCUCUACGCGUAGUAAUACUCCUCGAGAUUGAGUCCGGUAGGUCUACUUGCCAGCAACCCCCAAUUUUUACAGGUUGACCUCGGAUCAGGUAGGGAUACCCGCUGAACUUAAGCAUAUCAAUAAGCGGAGGA
RNAcentral lists this unclassified non-coding RNA (329 nucleotides) under soil metagenome. Its description in RNAcentral is "partial contains 5.8S ribosomal RNA, internal transcribed spacer 2, and large subunit ribosomal RNA". The stretch from base 1 to 120 matches the Rfam family "5.8S ribosomal RNA", at positions 35 to 154 of the family's 154-position model. The record is from RNAcentral.